This 845-nucleotide ribosomal RNA is filed under the name uncultured crenarchaeote. RNAcentral's name for it is "bacterial SSU rRNA". It matches the Rfam family "Archaeal small subunit ribosomal RNA", at positions 24 to 838 of the family's 1478-position model. Lineage: Archaea; Thermoproteati; Thermoproteota. The record is from RNAcentral.
CUACUGCUAUCGGGGUGGGACUAAAACAUGCGAGUCAAACGUCUUACAGCUACGAGUGAGAUGUGGCAUACGGCUCAGUAACACGUGGCUAACCCAACCUCGAGAUGGAGACAAUCCCGGGAAACUGGGGCUAAUCUCCAAUAGAUGAGAAGUCCUGGAAUGGUUUUUCGUUCAAAAGGUGUCGCGAUCACGCUUUGCGACACUGCUCGAGGAUGGGGCCGCGUCCGAUCAGGUAGUUGGUGAGGUAACGGCUCACCAAGCCUAUAACCGGUCCGGGCCGUGGGAGCGGGAGCCCGGAGAUGGGCACUGAGACAAGGGCCCAGGCCCUACGGGGCGCAGCAGUUGCGAAAACUCCGCAAUACACGGAAGUGUGACGGGGCUACCCCGAGUGCCGUCCGCUGAGGAUGGCUUUUCUUUGCUGUAGGAAUGCAGAGGAAUAAGGAGAGGGCAAGUCUGGUGUCAGCCGCCGCGGUAAUACCAGCUCUCCAAGUGGUAGGGAUGAUUAUUGGGCUUAAAGCGUCCGUAGCCGGCUCGACAAGUCUCUCGUUAAAUCCAACGAUCUAAUCGUUGGACUGCGGGAGAUACUGCUGGGCUAGGAGGCGGGAGAAGCCGACGGUAUUCCCGGGGUAGGGGUAAAAUCCUAUAAUGCCGGGAGGACCACCAGUGGCGUAGGCGGUCGGCUAGCACGUGCUCGACGGUGAGGGACGAAAGCUUGGGGAGCGAACCGGAUUAGAUACCCGGGUAGUCCAAGCUGUAAACGAUGCGGGCUAGGGUGUUUGAAGCGGCUACGAGCCCGCUUCAGGUGCCGCAGGAAAACCAUUAAACCCCGCCGCCUGGGGGAGUAC